This 253-nucleotide ribosomal RNA is filed under the name uncultured bacterium. RNAcentral describes it as "partial 16S ribosomal RNA". It matches the Rfam family "Bacterial small subunit ribosomal RNA", at positions 524 to 776 of the family's 1533-position model. The record is from RNAcentral.
UACGAAGGUGGCAAGCGUUACUCGGAAUUACUAGGCGUAAAGGGCAUGUAGGUGGUUUGGUAAGUCUGUUGUGAAAGCUCCUUGCUUAACGGGGAGAGGUCAACAGAUACUGCCAGGCUUGAGUAUGGGAGAGGGUACUGGAAUUCCUGGUGUAGCGGUGAAAUGCGCAGAGAUCAGGAGGAACACCGAUGGCGAAAGCAGGUACCUGGACCAUUACUGACACUCAGAUGCGAAAGCUAGGGGAGCAAACAGG